GUCCACGCCGUAAACGAUGUCUACUAGUUGUCGGUUGUCUUGUACGACGGGUAACGCAGCUAACGCGAUAAGUAGACCGCCUGGGGAGUACGGCCGCAAGGUUAAAACUCAAAUGAAUUGACGGGGGCCCGCACAAGCGGUGGAGCAUGUGGUUUAAUUCGAAGCAACGCGAAGAACCUUACCUGGCCUUGACAUCCUGCGAAUCUCUUGGAGACAAGAGAGUGCCUUCGGGAACGCAGAGACAGGUGCUGCAUGGCU
Molecule: ribosomal RNA, 258 nt
Filed under: uncultured bacterium
Lineage: Bacteria
Description: partial 16S ribosomal RNA
Rfam family: Bacterial small subunit ribosomal RNA
Source: RNAcentral